Molecule: long non-coding RNA, 1219 nt
Filed under: Homo sapiens (human)
Lineage: Eukaryota; Metazoa; Chordata; Mammalia; Primates; Hominidae
Description: non-protein coding lnc-WNT7B-4:1
Source: RNAcentral
UGGAACAGACUGUGACUUCUGAAGCAAUAGCUGCCUAAAAUGAAGGUGCAGGCUCCAGAAUUCUAGUCAUUUGUCACAGAAAGAUUGAAGAGCUUGACAGAAUUAUUUGUUAAAGAGAAUCGUGAAUUCAGAAUAGCAGAAGGAGCAGUGAGAGAUUUAUUAAAUGGAAUAAGACCUCAAGAUGUGGACUCUGCUACCAUUGUUACCCUUAUUGAAAUGCAGUAGAUGUUUCCGUCAGCUGGUAUUUGGAUGAUGGACAGCAGAAAAGCACAGAACAAUUACUGCCAGGCUUCGUGAAGACAAUUUUUAAAUUACUACACUCUGGACUGAUGUUGUCACUGAUGGAAGACAUGCUGAGGACAAAUUCACAACUGACUAGGAGAUGCUGAACACAAAGCUCUCUAGCAAACAAUUCUAUGUCUUUGGGUUUUGAUGGUACUUUAUCUAAUUUAAUGGUUAUGGAGAUUUUUUAAAAUAAGAAAAGUCUGUUGGACAUCAACAGAGUACAAUACAAUUGUUUUUGAAUUUUAAGAUAUGUCAGGUUUUGUGGGAGAACUGUAGACAAACCUGGUGACCACGGUCCUGAGAAGCAACUGCAGAGCCUGCAAAAGGCCUGGCUGGGCUAUUAGGAGAAAGCAUUUGGGUGGAACUAAAAAAGCUCUUGUCAGUAAACAUGUAAAUCAUUUGAUUCACCUUAUCUAUGAUCUUCAUGUGGCUCCCUAUGUAGGUAUAACAGCCAAUGCAAGUUUAGAAGAAUUUAACAAAGUCAGUAAAAAUGUCGAAGGUUUUUCACCAAAGCCAAUGACUCUUUUGGCCUCAUUAUUCAAAGUACAGAAUGAUGUCACAAAAUUGGAUUGGAGGUUGACGAUUUCAAAAGAAGAGAAAAACCUUGGCUUGUUUAUAGUUAAAAAUAAAAAAGACUGAAUUAAAGCAAUAGAUAGUUCAGAGCCACUGAAACCCUACCAAGACUUUCUCAGGGACUUUAGGGAACUUGCCGUGACUUCUCACAUACGUGAACUACUGAAGAGCCAAGGAGAGCACCAUCCCCUAAAGGAAAGGCAGCUGUGGUCCCUUCCUACAGUUCCUGUUCAGUGGGCAUGACACCAGAAAAGGGGACAUUUCUUGGGGGAAAAGAAACCAGGGCUCUAUUACAACAACUACAAGAACGGUGGAGAAAAAGUGGUUACCAAGGGGGAAAAGAUAAACUUCUAAGUUAUCU